Molecule: non-coding RNA, 655 nt
Organism: Pseudopodoces humilis (Tibetan ground-tit)
Lineage: Eukaryota; Metazoa; Chordata; Aves; Passeriformes; Paridae
Source: RefSeq, a predicted model, not a curated record
GAUCCGCAAGAAGCCGCUGCCGGCGGCGUGUAAAUAUCCGAGUUUGGGCCGAAAUCACCUCGGGGCCGCGGUGGCAGAGCAGGAAGGUGACACAGAGCUGUGGGGAGCGGUUCGGCCGAGCGCCGGGGCAGCAGAGGAAUGAUUUUCAAAAGGAAUCCAUGCAGUGAAUGUGAUGAAUCGCCAAUCUGCCUGAUGCUACUACCCCAACUCUGUCCUUCAUCGGAUUAAGUUCUCUUCUUACUUCACUGAGCAGCAGGAGAAAGGGAAAGAAGUACAAUCUUGUGGAUUUAGUCACUGUGGAAGAAAACCCUCAGCUAUACAAAUGCUGCUGCUUAGAAAAGGAAAAAAUGAAAAUGCCGAAGUAGGGGUGAUGUGGAUUUCAUACAUUGCUAGAACAACAAUUUUUGGGGAACUAAACCUUCUCCUCCCAAUACUUACUUUAGAAAAGCACAUCAAAGGGUAAACAGCUUUGAAGUAUCAGAAAACACAUAUAUUGACUUACCUAUAAGACAUUUCAGUACAAACAUUGCUUUGUAUUCUGCAUUCUUCUCAUGAAACCUGCUAAAGGAAAGUCAGAAGGAGUUUUAUAAUAAUCUCCUAUAGCAAUGGGAAGUUAGCUGAGAAUGGGUUAAAAUCAUCUCUUAAGCCACUGUUG